GGUUUGCAAAUUUUGCAAUGAAACUGCUUUAUGAAUUACAGUGAUCUCUUUCUUGAGCUUUUUAUUUCCCUCAUGAAUUAUACUGAAUUUAGCAAAACAUGCUGCUUGGCACAUAAUAAAAACCCAAUAACUUAAUAAACAAAUGAAUUUGGUUAAAACAAAAAGUUUAAAUAAAGGACAAAGGAAUUAAGUCUGUUUGAUUAAUAUAAGGCAGACAACAGGCAUUAUCUUGCAAAGUGGAGAUGACCAAAACCAAGGCAUGCAGGAGUUAGGGAGGUUAUACAUUGUCGUGAUUAGGAACGAAUCUCUGCCCCUAGAAAAGCCAAAUUGCCCUUUUCCCAGAGAGGAGCCAAAGUGCCUUUCUUAUACCAGGGAAGGCCCUGCAACUCUGCGGUCACAGGCGACUGGACAAAACAGCCCUCGGUCCCCGCUCUUCAGGGAAGCGACAAAUGGAGGGCUCGAGGUGUUGCUGCCCAGCCGUCUUGGGGGAAGAUCUAGGCGUGACCAUUUGGUGGGGCUCCCGGGGUGUCUCCGGGGAGCCCAGUGGGGAUUCCUUGGGUGGAGCCCAUCUCCAGUGACCCUCUCUACCCACCGCAGGAGCAGAGCUGGGUCAGCCAGAAACUUAGGCCAACUUUCCGUUCCAAGAGCCAGGAAAGGCUGGGGCAAGGGAUGUCUGCAAGGUGCGGGAACAGGCUUGGGAAAGGCUUUUCCAAAGAGUGGACUGUGUACCCCAGCUGGCCCCAAAUUCAGAGAAAUAAGAAGGCAGAACACAUCCCUUAGGACGAAUCAAGCCCUCUUCCCUGACGUCUCCAGCCUCCCCUAUGGUCUUCCUCUCUAGCUGCUGUUCCCCUGCCCUGAGCGCUCUCCAUCCACAGCCCCACCCCCUCCACCAGGCUGACCCCCAUCCACCACACUCACACUUCUGUCUCUGGUCUCCUCGCCCAGGUAGGCGGUCAGCCCCCUAUCAUUGCCCAUCCCAGCAGAAAAAUCGUACUCAGAAGGGACUAGAGACUGACAUCAGUGAGUGGAUGCAUGGACACCCCACUGUGGCUUCCGGAAUCAUUCACUGGACAGUCAUUCACUGGACAGUUAUUCACAGGCGUGUGGACACAAGGGUUCAAGUCUGGGCCCUGCAGGUCUCGUCUCAGAACAGCCCUGCCUCCGUUUUCACAUCUGUAGGAUAGGGGAAUCAUUCUUGCCUGCCCCACUGGGGAGCUGUAGAGACCCACCCAAGUAGGAAGAUGGUGAACAGCUGUGGGUGGGACUGUGAAGGACACCUGGAAAGACCAGACAAAUGGGGUCUGGGUUCAGUCUGGAUGGGGCCGUGGGGAAAGGAGAGGGUCGAGGCUCAUGUCGUCAAGUCACUUCCUGUUGGGAGGGCUCUCAACCCCAGGCCUCAGACUUUCCUGGGAGUCACCUUGACAGUGAUGGCGGAUAUGGAGGCCCCAAGGUGGGUGAAGCUGGGACAGUAAUUCUGACAGUAAUUCUCAGGUGGCAGCGGCAGACGGCUUCGAGCUGGGUGCUGAGACUUCUGAGGCAGGGAGCCCCCUGAUGCCACCAGCGCUGUGGCAGAUGAGGGCCUCUUCCCACCAGCUGGCUUAUGCCAUCAGCCAGUCACCUUCCACUGUCCCCACACAGCACAACUUCCAUCUGCUGGUGAUGCUCAGUGCUCAUGUUCAGGCCCUGGGCCAAGAAAGCUGGAAGUGUCAGACGACUAGAAACACUCUAAAGGAAGACACCACCUCUCCCAGCGGGGCAGCAGACUAGAUCUGGAUGAAAGCUUGCUUCACCUAGUGGCUGGGGGCUGCUGGAGCCCAAGCCCGCUGGCCUCUGCUUGUUGAAAUAGGAGGUCUUCAUGUGGCGGACUCCUCCUGUCUUCAAGGCAUGCACUGACCCCGCUGGGCUCCAAGGCCCUGUCAGCACGUGUGGAGCAGUGACAGGGGUCUACAGGGUGGGUAACGGGUGGCAGGAAGCCCCUUGCUUGGUAGAAAAGAGGCUGAUGUGCUAGGAGGUCACCAGGAGCUCCACUCUGUCCUCGUUCAAAACCGUCCCCAGGUUUAAGUAGAGCCGGGAAGCGAGGACACACAGCUGAGCUGGUGGUGGGAGAAAUGGCCAAGCCAGCUCCAGCCACUGGUCACAGGAGAGAGGGCCCCAUCCCCAUGCUCCCUCUGCUCUCCUGCUCCGAGUGUUGCCUCUGCGGGAACGAGGAUUUGUAAAAUACCCGAAGUUGGAUGAGACGUUGAGGACGAGCCCUUGCUGGAGCCACAUGAGGUAAGGAAGGUGGGUGUCAGGAAAGGGAAGGACUGUCAGGGGCCAGGCCCUUGUCUUGGGAUUUCAUCCUGGUGGGACCAACUCUUCACAGGAUGUCGGUUCUCAGUCAGGGGCUCGCUGGGAUCCCUGGGCUUCCGUUCACUGAUCUCCCCAGUCCGGGUGAGGCCUGGGCGCCAGCGUAUUUAUGGCCCUUCCUCCAGGUGGCUCUGAUGCACAUCAGGGUUGAAAACCACCCAUUGUGAGGGUGGCGCCCUCACUUUCAUUCAGAGAUGAGGGGACUGGCCUCAUCUGAGAGGGUGAGUAACUCCCUCUAGAUCACACAGCAAGAAGGGCCAGAGCAGGGCCCACACAUCUUCACUGCUAGGGCUGGGGGAGCAUGGGGUACUUUGGAAAGGGCCCUUCUGGCCUCCUCCCCUCCCCCAGCACUGCCCCAGGCACGCAGCGGC
Molecule: long non-coding RNA, 2717 nt
Organism: Bos taurus (domestic cattle)
Lineage: Eukaryota; Metazoa; Chordata; Mammalia; Artiodactyla; Bovidae
Source: Ensembl